This 728-nucleotide ribosomal RNA is filed under the name uncultured bacterium. RNAcentral describes it as "bacterial SSU rRNA". It matches the Rfam family "Bacterial small subunit ribosomal RNA", at positions 28 to 746 of the family's 1533-position model. The record is from RNAcentral.
AUUGAACGCGAGGCGGCAGGCCUAACACAUGCAAGUCGAACGGUAACAGGAUUGCAGCUUGCUGCUUUGCUGACGAGUGGCGGACGGGUGAGUAAUGUCUGGGAAACGCUGAUGGAGGGGGAUAACUCUGGAAACGGUGGCUAAUUACCGCAUAACGUCGCAAGACCAAAGAGGGGGACCUUCGGGCCUCUUGCCAUCAGAUGUGCCCAGAUGGGAUUAGCUUGUUGGUGAGGUAACGGCUCACCAAGGCGACGAUCCCUAGCUGGUCUGAGAGGAUGACCAGCCACACUGGAACUGAGACACGGUCCAGACUCCUACGGGAGGCAGCAGUGGGGAAUAUUGCACAAUGGGCGCAAGCCUGAUGCAGCCAUGCCGCGCGUGUAUGAAGAAGGCCUUCGGGUUGUAAAGUACUUUCAGCGGGGAGGAAGGUGUUGUGGGUUAAUAACCGCAGCAAUUGACGUUACCCGCAGAAGAAGCACCGGCUAACUCCGUGCCAGCAGCCGCGGUAAUACGGAGGGUGCAAGCGUUAAUCGGAAUUACUGGGCGUAAAGCGCACGCAGGCGGUCUGUCAAGUCGGAUGUGAACCCGGGCUCAACCUGGGAACUGCAUUCGAAACUGGCAGGCUUGAGUCUUGUAGAGGGGGGUAGAAUUCCAGGUGUAGCGGUGAAAUGCGUAGAGAUCUGGAGGAAUACCGGUGGAAGGCGGCCCCCUGGAACAAAGACUGAUGA